This is a long non-coding RNA of Homo sapiens (human), 1441 nucleotides long. Ensembl annotates it as PCGF3 antisense RNA 1. Its record names the gene PCGF3-AS1. NCBI's taxonomy places the organism in Eukaryota, Metazoa, Chordata, Mammalia, Primates, Hominidae. The record is from Ensembl.
GCAGAGGCGCUGGAGCUGGGUCAGUCCGCCGCUCACCCCGCGGCCGCACCUUCCCGCCUUCUCAGAUAAGGUCUCUUGAGCUGCUUUUUAUCUAAAGGAAGCAGAAGAAAACAGCGAAAUUCAAGAAAAAAAAUCUCCAAGGUGGUUGGCUUCUUGGAAAGCCUGAAUGGUGGCCAAGGACCACCUGGGCUCCCAAGGAGUGGAGGGAGGAGGGAUUCAGUUCCACAGGAAAUAAAUGGGAACAGCCCGGUGGAGAAGACAAUGACAACUGCAGGACAACACCUCAACCACUCCAGAAAACAGCCCUUGCUCCUCCUUCUGGCCUUUUCAUAUUUCCAAGUUACUGUUUUAAAGGAAAAAAAAAAAUGUGUGUGUGGCUGUUUAUUCUCUAAUGUGACAAAAACAUGACCAUCCGGGAGGAGAGGGGCUAACGGUGCAACCAACUGAGGCUGAAACACAGAUUCAGCUGAAAUGCAGCUUCUGCAGAGCGGGGGCCGGCUUCCCUCCUAGCCCUUCAGCUGCUCACCCUGUCCCUGCAGCUCUGAAAAACGCCCUUCCAGUAAGCGGCCAAGGAGCACACGAGCUCCUCCCACCAGCAAAGGGGAAGGGGAGGCCUUGGACAGACGGGGCAGUGAGUGUGUCUGGGCAUGAGCCCGAAGCCACCACCAGCAAAUCCUCCCCACGGAUGCCAGGAGAGCUCUGAUCCUAACCACCACCACCUCUCCCUUCAGCAAAAUCAAAACAGGGAAAGAAAACAUAGGAAACCAAACGGCGGCACUCAACAAUUUGGGGGAACAAGUAAUUUUUAAAAGUAAGAGUUGUUCCGUAAACCAGCACUGAGCUGGUCACACGGCCUCUGGUCUACCUGCUGAGCAUGUCAGAAAUCCCGACGUGGCGUCUGGGGCCCCGUUUCCAGGGCUGGGUGUGUCAGCCACAGGUGAGCGACAGUUCUGAGUGAGUCCAAGUGCCGACCUCACACAAUGAAAGGCGAACCAGUCAGGGAGCUGCUGUUGUGUUUCAUAAGGUGGGAAAUUAAAUACAAUGGUUAAAUCAUAAUGUUAAUGGAAACCUCUUUUGGUUUGCUUUUAAAUUAAUUUUUUAUAUAACUUCUAAAUCUUCAAGAAGCUAAAGGCAACAUAAAUAUUGUCAUUCACCAUGAAAAGACAUUUUUUCAAUAACUUAGGAAGGAUUCAAUAAAAGUCCAACUACACUUGAGGCUUAUCAUGAAACCUAAAAUUCAUAAACUAAACUGAAGUGAAUUCAGAUUUUCAAGACCUGGAAAGCAAGCAGAGGGAGCUCGUGUCAGAAGGUGACUCAGAACCGUGUUGCCUGGAGCAUCACUCUCCCUGCAAGGCUGAAGCACGGGGUGGGGCGGGGGAGAGGACGAUCGGCUCUGGGAGACUGUGAAGUGUUUUCAUCCUCUGUAAACGUGGUGCUGGUA